This 507-nucleotide ribosomal RNA is filed under the name uncultured Desulfobulbus sp. RNAcentral's name for it is "bacterial SSU rRNA". It matches the Rfam family "Bacterial small subunit ribosomal RNA", at positions 910 to 1382 of the family's 1533-position model. The record is from RNAcentral. Lineage: Bacteria; Pseudomonadati; Thermodesulfobacteriota; Desulfobulbia; Desulfobulbales; Desulfobulbaceae.
CCUUGCCAGCCCGCUCAGAAACUCAAGGAAGUUCGACGGGGCCCGCACAAGCGGUGGAGUAUGUGGUUUAAUUCGAUGCAACGCGAAGACCUUACCUGGUCUUGACAUCCCGGAGACCCUUAGGAAACUAGGGGUGCUUCCAUCUGGAAGAAUCUGGAGACAGGUGCUGCAUGGCUGUCGUCAGCUCGUGUCGUGAGAUGUUGGGUUAAGUCCCGCAACGAGCGCAACCCUUGCCUUUAGUUGCCAGCAGUUCGGCUGGGCACUCUAAAGGGACUGCCGGUGUUAAACCGGAGGAAGGUGGGGAUGACGUCAAGUCCUCAUGGCCUUUAUGACCAGGGCUACACACGUACUACAAUGGCCGAUACAAAGGGCAGCGACACUGCGAGGUGAAGCCAAUCCCGUAAAAUCGGUCUCAGUCCGGAUUGGAGUCUGCAACUCGACUCCAUGAAGUUGGAAUCGCUAGUAAUCGUGGAUCAGCAUGCCACGGUGAAUACGUUCCCGGGCCUU